RNAcentral lists this long non-coding RNA (495 nucleotides) under Chrysemys picta bellii (western painted turtle). RNAcentral's name for it is "lncRNA (ENSCPBG00000027176.1)". The record is from RNAcentral. Lineage: Eukaryota; Metazoa; Chordata; Testudines; Emydidae.
CUUUUCAGACAGGGAUUUGGAUGCCUUUCGGAAGCUGGGAAAAGAAACCCCAUGGAACUUCUGCAUUUGGGACUGGAGUUUAAAACCCCUAGGAGCUAGACAACAGCCCUGGAGACCAGCCAGGCGAUGGAAGUGGUGUUGGUCUGGAUUCCAGGAGGUUAUGGGCAGAAUCUCUGCAUUGAUGAUGUCAUCCCUGCCACAGGCUCAUUAACACUUCGCAACAGCAAAGCCCUGCCCACAAAGGGAAGGGAUCUAAAGAAGAUACACAAACAAAGGAGGUGAAUGUUAAAAGCAGCUAAUGAGAAGAAAACUCCACCUUCCGAUCGCAGCACUUCAGAACAAGGAGCAUUGCCAAGCACUAAGAACCUGGGGAUUAAAGAGACAAUUUAGGAAGACUUGAUGCAGAGAAUGGAAAUCUCCUGAAAGGUAUUAAAGAACACAGAAGAUCAGCACAUACAUUUUGGGGGGGGAGGGAGGAAACAUGGACAACUUUAC